UGGCAAGCGUUGUCCGGAUUUACUGGGCGUAAAGAGCNCGCAGGCGGUCGNUCAAGUCGCGUGUGAAAGCCCCCGGCUCAACUGGGGAGGGUCACNCGAUACUGAUCGACUCGAAGGCAGGAGAGGGUAGUGGAAUUCCCGGUGUAGUGGUGAAAUGCGUAGAUAUCGGGAGGAACACCAGUGGCGAANGCGACUACCUGGCCUGUUCUUGACGCUGANGCGCGAAAGCUAGGGGAGCAAACGGGAUUAGAUACCCCGGUAGUCCUAGCCGUAAACGAUGGACACUANGUGUUGGUGGUAUCAACCCCGCCAGUGCCGAAGCUAACGCAUUAAGUGUCCCGCCUGGGGAGUACGGCCGCAAGGCUAAAACUCAAAGG
Molecule: ribosomal RNA, 377 nt
Filed under: uncultured bacterium
Lineage: Bacteria
Description: bacterial SSU rRNA
Rfam family: Bacterial small subunit ribosomal RNA
Source: RNAcentral